This 666-nucleotide ribosomal RNA is filed under the name Triticum aestivum (bread wheat). RNAcentral's name for it is "partial small subunit ribosomal RNA". The record is from RNAcentral. Lineage: Eukaryota; Viridiplantae; Streptophyta; Magnoliopsida; Poales; Poaceae.
CUUAAGCAUGUCGCAAACUGCAAGCACUGUGGCGCCAAAAAAUUCGAGUAUGAGACAAAGUCCUUCUGCUGUCAGAAUGGUAAAAUCAAGUUAGCAAACCCAGAGCCAAUUCCAGAACUAAUGAGGCUCUGGUCAAGCGCAGAUGCAGAUGCGAGGCAUUUUCGUGAUAACAUUAGGUUCUUUAACUCACACUUUUCCUUCACCACCCUUGGCGUCAACCUUGACAACAACUACACAAAUAUGCGAUCAGGCGUGUACACGUUUCGUGCGCAUGGACAGAUUUACCACAAUAUCCAUUCAUUUGGGUCGAGGGAUUCAGGCCCAGACCAUCUGCAGUUGUAUUUCUACGAUGAUGAUCCCAGCCUACAACAUCGCUUUCGGCACUCCCCAGGACUCGACCAGGAGAUCAUUAGAAAGCCGGUCAACAUCCUUAGGGACAACCCCUAUUCUCAGACAUUCAGGAGUCUCGGCCAGGUCGAGGAACUAGAGGAGUACCGAAUAUCCUUAAACACUGACCAGAGGUUGGACCAACGGACAUAUAAUGUGCCAGUGUCAUCAGAGGUGGCUGCAGUGUGGGUUGAGGGCAAUGACCUAAUUAGGAAGUUUGACCGCAGCAUCAUCUUAUAUGGGAACAACAACAGCAACUAUGCUAUACAGCCAUAUUAG